UAUUAAAGUUGUUGCAGUUAAAAAGCUCGUAGUUGAAUUUCGGGAUUGGCGCAUCGGUCGUGCCUCACGGGGUGUGAACUGGUGCAGUCAAUUUCUCACCUUCUGGAGAACCGCGAUGUCCUUAAUUGGAUGCCGCGGGGAACCAGGACCUUUACUUUGAAAAAAUUAGAGCGUUUAAAGCAGGCAUUUUUGCUUGAAUACAUUAGCAUGGAAUAAUAAAAUAGGACGGCAUGGUUCUAUUUUGUUGGUUUCUAGGACCACCGUAAUGAUUAAUAGGGAUAGUUGGGGGCAUUAGUAUUCAAUUGUCAGAGGUGAAAUUCUUGGAUUUAUUGAAGACUAACUACUGCGAAAGCAUUUGCCAAGGAUGUUUCCAUUAAUCAAGAACGAAAGUUAGGGGAUCGAAGACGAUCAGAUACCGUCGUAGUCUUAACCAUAAACUAUGCCGACUAGGAAUCAGACGAUGUUAAUUUUUUAAUGACUCGUUUGGCAC
This 490-nucleotide ribosomal RNA is filed under the name uncultured Glomus. Its description in RNAcentral is "SSU rRNA". It matches the Rfam family "Eukaryotic small subunit ribosomal RNA", at positions 602 to 1086 of the family's 1831-position model. Lineage: Eukaryota; Fungi; Glomeromycota; Glomeromycetes; Glomerales; Glomeraceae. The record is from RNAcentral.